Molecule: transfer RNA, 68 nt
Filed under: Jellisonia amadoi
Lineage: Eukaryota; Metazoa; Arthropoda; Insecta; Siphonaptera; Ceratophyllidae
Description: tRNA-Val
Rfam family: tRNA
About the family: Transfer RNA (tRNA) molecules are approximately 80 nucleotides in length. Their secondary structure includes four short double-helical elements and three loops (D, anti-codon, and T loops).
Source: RNAcentral
CAAAUUAUAACUUAAUAUAAAGUAUUUUAUUUACAUUAAAAAGAUAUAGUUUAAAUCUAUUAAUUUGA